Xylaria intraflava is the source of this 93-nucleotide non-coding RNA. NCBI's taxonomy places the organism in Eukaryota, Fungi, Ascomycota, Sordariomycetes, Xylariales, Xylariaceae. The record is from the annotation of a GenBank genome assembly.
GGCUUGGUGGUCUAGUGGUAUGAUUCUCGCUUAGGGUACACCCGAAAGCAAAAAAGAUGCGAGAGGUCCCGGGUUCAAUCCCCGGCCAAGCCC